AACGAACGCUGGCGGCAUGCCUAACACAUGCAAGUCGAACGAGACCUUCGGGUCUAGUGGCGCACGGGUGCGUCACGCGUGGGAACCUGCCCUUAGGUUCGGAAUAACUCCCCGACAGGGGUGCUAAUACCGGAUAAUGUCUUCGGACCAAAGAUUUAUCGCCUUUGGAUGGGCCCGCGUUGGAUUAGCUAGUUGGUAGGGUAAAAGCCUACCAAGGCGACGAUCCAUAGCUGGUCUGAGAGGAUGAUCAGCCACACUGGGACUGAGACACGGCCCAGACUCCUACGGGAGGCAGCAGUGGGGAAUAUUGGACAAUGGGCGAAAGCCUGAUCCAGCAAUGCCGCGUGAGUGAUGAAGGCCUUAGGGUUGUAAAGCUCUUUUACCCGGGAUGAUAAUGACAGUACCGGGAGAAUAAGCUCCGGCUAACUCCGUG
RNAcentral lists this ribosomal RNA (433 nucleotides) under uncultured bacterium. Its description in RNAcentral is "partial 16S ribosomal RNA". It matches the Rfam family "Bacterial small subunit ribosomal RNA", at positions 29 to 507 of the family's 1533-position model. The record is from RNAcentral.